AUACGGAGGAUCCGAGCGUUAUCCGGAUUUAUUGGGUUUAAAGGGUGCGCAGGCGGCCAUUUAAGUCAGCGGUUAAAUCGUGGGGCUCAACCCCAUUCUGCCGUUGAUACUGGGUGGCUUGAUUGCGGUCGAGGUUGGCGGAAUUCGUUGUGUAGCGGUGAAAUGCAUAGAUAUGACGAAGAACACCGAUUGCGUAGGCAGCUGACCAGACCGCAAAUGACGCUCAUGCACGAAAGUGCGGGGAUCGAACAGGAUUAGAUACCCUGGUAGUCCGCACAGUAAACGAUGAAUACUUGUUUUCGGCGAUAUAAUGUCGGAGGCAAAGCGAAAGCGAUAAGUAUUCCGCCUGGGGAGUACGGCCGCAAGGUUGAAACUCAAAUGAAUUGGCGGGG
Molecule: ribosomal RNA, 392 nt
Filed under: uncultured bacterium
Lineage: Bacteria
Description: partial 16S ribosomal RNA
Rfam family: Bacterial small subunit ribosomal RNA
Source: RNAcentral